GAGGGUAUAGCUCAGAGGUAGAGCACAUGCUUUGUGUGCACAAGGUCCUGCGUUCAAUCCCCAGGACCUUCU
RNAcentral lists this transfer RNA (72 nucleotides) under Camelus bactrianus (Bactrian camel). It matches the Rfam family "tRNA". Rfam says of the family: Transfer RNA (tRNA) molecules are approximately 80 nucleotides in length. Their secondary structure includes four short double-helical elements and three loops (D, anti-codon, and T loops). Further hydrogen bonds mediate the characteristic L-shaped molecular structure. tRNAs have two regions of fundamental functional importance: the anti-codon, which is responsible for specific mRNA codon recognition, and the 3' end, to which the tRNAs corresponding amino acid is attached (by aminoacyl-tRNA synthetases). tRNAs cope with the degeneracy of the genetic code in two manners: having more than one tRNA (with a specific anti-codon) for a particular amino acid; and 'wobble' base-pairing, i.e. permitting non-standard base-pairing at the 3rd anti-codon position. RNAcentral also lists the same sequence under 2 other names. Lineage: Eukaryota; Metazoa; Chordata; Mammalia; Artiodactyla; Camelidae. The record is from Rfam by way of RNAcentral.